CGAAGCGGUGGAGUAUGUGGUUUAAUUCGAUGCAAACGCGAAGUAACCUUACCUGGUCUUGACAUCCGGAAAUCCCUGGAAACUUGGGAGUGCUUCAUUAGGAAGAAUCCGGAGACAGGUGCUGCAUGGCUGUCGUCAGCUCGUGUCGUGAGAUGUUGGGUUAAGUCCCGCAACGAGCGCAACCCUUGCCUUUAGUUGCCAGCAGUUCGGCUGGGCACUCUAAAGGGACUGCCGGUGUCAAACCGGAGGAAGGUGGGAUGACGUCAAGUCCUCAUGGCCUUUAUGACCAGGGCUACACACGUACUACAAUGGCCGAUACAAAGGGCAGCGACAUCGCGAGGUGAAGCCAAUCCCAUAAAAUCGGUCUCAGUCCGGAUUGGAGUCUGCAACUCGACUCCAUGAAGUUGGAAUCGCUAGUAAUCGUGGAUCAGCAUGCCACGGUGAAUACGUUCCCGGGCCUU
Molecule: ribosomal RNA, 461 nt
Filed under: uncultured Desulfobulbus sp.
Lineage: Bacteria; Pseudomonadati; Thermodesulfobacteriota; Desulfobulbia; Desulfobulbales; Desulfobulbaceae
Description: bacterial SSU rRNA
Rfam family: Bacterial small subunit ribosomal RNA
Source: RNAcentral